UAUAUUUUAAUAUAAGAUGUAUAUAGAUUUUUGAUAUCUAAAGAAAUAGUUUAAUUCUGUUAAAUAUAA
Molecule: transfer RNA, 69 nt
Filed under: Erotylidae sp. BMNH 1274780
Lineage: Eukaryota; Metazoa; Arthropoda; Insecta; Coleoptera; Erotylidae
Description: tRNA-Gln
Source: RNAcentral